UAAAACGGAAGAAGGCUUGCAGUUUUGUAGGCUUCGUUAGUUUCGAUUUUUUUUUUCCGACGAGGUCGACUCGAAUUGGUUUUUUUUUCCGUUAGUUAUUAUACUUCAGUACCGGUAGUUAGUUAGUAAAAUCACGGGGAAGAAAA
Molecule: non-coding RNA, 146 nt
Filed under: uncultured Nitzschia
Lineage: Eukaryota; Bacillariophyta; Bacillariophyceae; Bacillariales; Bacillariaceae
Source: RNAcentral